This 1043-nucleotide ribosomal RNA is filed under the name wastewater metagenome. RNAcentral describes it as "bacterial SSU rRNA". It matches the Rfam family "Bacterial small subunit ribosomal RNA", at positions 8 to 1094 of the family's 1533-position model. The record is from RNAcentral.
AGAGUUUGAUCCUGGCUCAGAACGAACGCUGGCGGCAGGCCUAAAACAUGCAAGUCGAACGCCCUAGCAAUAGGGAGUGGCGCACGGGUGAGUAACGCGUGGGAAUGUGCCCCUUAGUACGGGACAACGUCGGGAAACUGACGCUAAUACCGUAUAAUAUCUCAGGAUCAAAGAUUUAUCGCUGAGGGAGCAGCCCGCGUCUGAUUAGCUAGUUGGUGAGGUAAUGGCUCACCAAGGCUACGAUCAGUAGCAGGUCUGAGAGGAUGAUCUGCCACACUGGGACUGAGACACGGCCCAGACUCCUACGGGAGGCAGCAGUUAGGAAUAUUGGACAAUGGGCGAAAGCCUGAUCCAGCCAUGCCGCGUGUGUGAUGAAGGCCCUAGGGUUGUAAAGCACUUUCGUUGGGGAUGAUAAUGACCGUACCCAAAGAAGAAGCACCGGCUAACUUCGUGCCAGCAGCCGCGGUAAUACGAAGGGUGCAAGCGUUGUUCGGAAUCACUGGGCGUAAAGAAUGCGUAGGCGGCUUAACAAGUCAGAAGUGAAAUCCCAAGGCUCAACCUUGGAACUGCUUUUGAAACUGUUUUGCUAGAGUCCCGGAGGGGUUAGCGGAAUUCCGAGUGUAGAGGUGAAAUUCGCAGAUAUUCGGAGGAACACCAGUGGCGAAGGCGGCUAACUGGACGGGAACUGACGCUGAGGCAUGAAAGUGUGGGGAUCAAACAGGAUUAGAUACCCUGGUAGUCCACACCGUAAACGAUGUGUGCUAGUUGUCGGGCAGCUUUGCUGUUCGGUGACGGAGCUAACGUUUUAAGCACACCGCCUGGGAAGUACGGCCGCAAGGUUAAAACUCAAAGGAAUUGACGGGGACCCGCACAAGCAGUGGAACAUGUCCUUUAAUUCGUAGCAACGCGAAGAACCUUACCUACCCUUGACAUAUCAGUUGGGAUUUCCAGAGAUGGAUUUCUUCAUUUAGUUGGACUGAAUACAGGUGCUGCAUGGCUGUCGUCAGCUCGUGUCGUGAGAUGUUGGGUUAAGUCCCGCAACG